AGCAAAUGCAAAUCACUCAAUUAAAUCAGUCAAACAACCAGUUUAAUAACAGGUAGAGAUUUGUGGCCUGAGGAGAACAUGAAUUAAUUAUGAAAAAUUGACAAAGAAACCAAAAUUAAGAAGCAAUGGCCUAAGUUCUGCCAAACUCAGAGAUAGUCUAUGACUCAGACAGACUGGUUCACCAGCUUCUUGACAAGAAAACUCCAGUCAGACAUGAUUCUGGUUCAGCUUGACCUGACCCGCUUCAGCUUUGUCCUGGGAAGAUCAUAAAUCAUGAUGAAAACAUUGCCCAGUCCUUGUUCCCAUUACCUCUUUGCCAGAUCCACACAAGUUGCCAAGGGACUGAUUUAUCAGAUUGUUGUUAUGAGGACGGCUAAUGCCACAUUCAUCGUGCCAGGUAGUAUCUGUACCCAAGAUCCUCCCUAGGAAAAAGCAGCAAGAGUUGAAGUUCCGAGAACUAAGAGGAAACUAUGACCUAAAAGAGGUCACCUAUGACCACGGGUCAGCUAGGUGUGAAUGAAAAAUUAUUCUGCUGAUUUAUGAAGUGGAAAAU
Molecule: long non-coding RNA, 553 nt
Filed under: Homo sapiens (human)
Lineage: Eukaryota; Metazoa; Chordata; Mammalia; Primates; Hominidae
Description: non-protein coding lnc-WDR75-1:1
Source: RNAcentral